GGCCGCCUGACCGAAGCCGCCGACCACCGCAGAUCCGGCGCCACCGCCGACCGAAGCCGCCGCCGCCGUCCACCUCGCCGCCGGCCGUCGUCCGUCGUCGUUUGUCGUAUCGGUGAGCACCUUUGAGUUCGCAAUGUUGUCCUCUACGCGUAGGUGUCCUCCAAAAGUCCGGCCGACCACCCUAGCUCCGGCGAGGUCGCCACCCGUGCCGUGGCUGCCGUCGAUGACGUCAUCAUCUCCUCUUUUUCAGUUUUUUUUAAUAGAUUAAAUCUUCGGAAAAUUCAUAACUAAAUCAUCGUAACUCGGUUUUGAGUGGUUCAAGUUGCUAAAUUCAUCUAAAAUCAUGAUCUACAUGUUUGUUUACUUUAUAUGUACUGUUUAUGCUUGUUUUUUACUGUUUAUUUGGUUUUUAUUAGUUUUUUUCUUCGUUUUGCGUGUUAGCUUGUCGUUUCCGUCGUUGCGAAGGUUCGUGAGUGCGUCGGGAGUGUUCAGAAGAUUAAUUGAAGACCGAUUAUUGCAAGGCAAGUUACACAGAUCCUAAACAUAAUCCUUUGAGUAUGUUGAUCCUAUAUUUAAAUUCUCUAUUUAUUUCAACUGCGCAUUUAUUUUCGAAUGUCACCGGGUGGUGUGAACCUACUCCUUUGUUAUGGCCAAUCUGCAUUGAAUGCCCUAUUCCUUGAUACCUUGGGUAAUAAAUUGAUUAGCUUGAACCUUAUGUAUUGGUUUGGUUCAGCUAAAUGUUAUAUAUAUAAUUGCUUAGCCAUGCUUAGAAACAUUAGCUCACUAAUGGGAUAAAUCAUAUAUACUACAUUAUUAUUUAUGGUUAUAUUUAAUGGUAGCUCACGAUGGUUAAUCGUGUUAUGAUAAUUAAUUGGUAAUUAAAAUAUGACAAUUAAGGUUGUGAGCAUAUGGUUUUGAAGGUCGUGCUCAUGGCAAUUAAGGACCGGUUCGCGAGCUACUGUUGUGAAACAUUAACCGUGCCAACCACAAGCCAGCGUGGGCAACGGCUUUACCUUUUGUAUAGCAUGGCUUAUUGCGGAGCACCAGACUGAGAAGUGGCGGAGAUAAGCCCACGGGGGUCGCUGGGGAGUCCAUGCCUUAUUUUAUAAGGGGGUGAUUAUGAUCCAGGAAUGGUGCACUGUGGUGAGUUGUGUUGUGCAGAGGGUAUUGUCACAGCCUCUAUUCGGGUACUUUCCAGUAUCGCGACGCAUGGUAGACAUGAUGUUGAGGCUGUGUCUUGUGGGCACAGUGGUACACCUCUGGCCAGAGUAAAACUAUUCGAAUAGCCGUGCCCGCGGUUAUGGGCAAGUUGAGCAAUGUUUUUCGUGAUUAGUCUCACGCCUCUCACAAUAAUUAUUGAUGCUAUAACUGGUAAUAAUUUGUUUAGCUCCUGGUUUGGAGUUAGAUCUAUACAGCCGGGUAUGGUUGUUCAGGAUGGUUGGGCCUGUGCAGCAUGGGUGUGCUGUUCAGUGUUGAUUAAAAUUUCUGAUUAAUUACUCUACUGUUUUACUACUCUUAACUCUUUGCUAAAUGCUGCUUUCGCAAAUGAGACUAUAUUAUGCCAUCCUUUGGUAUCCUUGUGCACUUGCAUAUUUGCUGUGUGGCUUGUUGAGUAUGUCAUAUGCUCAUUCUUGCAAUAAUCAAUCAACCUCAGUUGAAGAAAAAGGAUCCAGAAGGAGAAGACGUUUGGCUUAUACCCCAGUUGAGUUGCUUGUGGGAGUGGAGCUGAAGCCAUCGCUAGACCGUUAAUUCCGCUGCUGUUUUUCU
RNAcentral lists this long non-coding RNA (1767 nucleotides) under Oryza sativa (Asian cultivated rice). Its description in RNAcentral is "long non-coding RNA (OSAT_LNC001509)". The record is from RNAcentral. Lineage: Eukaryota; Viridiplantae; Streptophyta; Magnoliopsida; Poales; Poaceae.